RNAcentral lists this ribosomal RNA (478 nucleotides) under uncultured Planctomycetales bacterium. Its description in RNAcentral is "bacterial SSU rRNA". It matches the Rfam family "Bacterial small subunit ribosomal RNA", at positions 364 to 832 of the family's 1533-position model. The record is from RNAcentral. Lineage: Bacteria; Pseudomonadati; Planctomycetota; Planctomycetia; Planctomycetales.
UUUCGCAAUGCCCGAAAGGGUGACGAAGCGACGCCGCGUGUGGGAAGAAGGCCUUCGGGUUGUAAACCACUGUCGGGAGUUAAGAAAUGUAAGGAUGUUAAUAGCGUCCUUACUUGACUAAGGCUCCAGAGGAAGCCACGGCUAACUCUGUGCCAGCAGCCGCGGUAAUACAGAGGCGGCAAGCGUUGUUCGGAAUUAUUGGGCGUAAAGAGCACGUAGGCGGCCCUGAAAGUCAGUUGUGAAAGCCUUCUGCUUAACGGAAGAACAGCAUCUGAUGCUCCAGGGCUAGAGUACGGGAGGGGAGAGUGGAACUUCUGGUGGAGCGGUGAAAUGCGUAGAUAUCAGAAGGAACGCCGGCGGCGAAAGCGACUCUCUGGUCCGUAACUGACGCUGAGUGUGCGAAAGCUAGGGGAGCAAACGGGAUUAGGUACCCCGGUAGUCCUAGCCGUAAACGAUGGGCACUAAGUAGAGGGGUUUU